Bombina bombina (fire-bellied toad) is the source of this 228-nucleotide long non-coding RNA. RefSeq lists it as uncharacterized. Lineage: Eukaryota; Metazoa; Chordata; Amphibia; Anura; Bombinatoridae. The record is from RefSeq and is a predicted model, not a curated record. The transcript is spliced from 2 exons.
CAGCAAAUUUCCAGUUUGAGAAUUUACGAACUCUGAAAUACAAACAGAUUUGAUAUGACUUCUGUGUACAUAGAAGACCAAAAGUUCUUGAGGAAGAUGAGAUGUAAAAUGGAUGUCCAUCCAGGAACUCAUACCCGGUUCAAAAGUCUGUGCUUACUCCAUGUUGAUAGCUCUGCAUGUUUUCUGUUUUACUCUUAGUUUUCCAAAUAAACUUUAUAACAACAAGAA